UUUCCGUAGGUGAACCUGCGGAAGGAUCAUUACAGUGUUAGGCUUCGGCCUCAUUCACACCCCUUGUUGAACCUCUGGUUUCUUUGGCGAUGUCAUGGACUCGUCAAACUUUAACUCUGGGAAUGCGAUACUGUCCGAGUGCCAUUGAAUGAUUAAAACUUUCAACAACGGAUCUCUUGGUUCCA
RNAcentral lists this unclassified non-coding RNA (185 nucleotides) under Diversisporales sp. Its description in RNAcentral is "partial contains small subunit ribosomal RNA, internal transcribed spacer 1, and 5.8S ribosomal RNA". Lineage: Eukaryota; Fungi; Glomeromycota; Glomeromycetes; Diversisporales. The record is from RNAcentral. RNAcentral also lists the same sequence under 1 other name.